GUGAGGAUAGCGGAGAGGAAACACCCGUUCCCAUUCCGAACACGGCAGUUAAGCUCUCCGACGCCGAUGAUACUGCGCGGGCAACUGCGCGGGAAAGUAGGUAUCGCC
Molecule: ribosomal RNA, 108 nt
Filed under: Candidatus Poribacteria bacterium
Lineage: Bacteria; Candidatus Poribacteria
Source: RNAcentral